RNAcentral lists this long non-coding RNA (202 nucleotides) under Elaeis guineensis (African oil palm). RNAcentral's name for it is "long non-coding RNA (EGUI_LNC058210)". Lineage: Eukaryota; Viridiplantae; Streptophyta; Magnoliopsida; Arecales; Arecaceae. The record is from RNAcentral.
GACCGACAAGUCUGGAUCCCCUGGCAGGCCACAGUAACAGACAACACUGCUCCACUCCCUGCGGCAGACCCUACGUAGCUCCAUUACUCCCUGACAGGCCGUACUAACGACCACGAUUCUGCUCCACCCCCUGCAGCAGAUCCUGUGCGAUUCCACCACUCUCUGACGAGUCACGACAACGGAUGUUGCUCCACUCCCCAUA